This 29-nucleotide non-coding RNA is filed under the name Rattus norvegicus (Norway rat). Lineage: Eukaryota; Metazoa; Chordata; Mammalia; Rodentia; Muridae. The record is from RNAcentral.
UAACGGAAGCAACGUGGCAGUGCUGCUUC